GGAAGUAAAAGUCGUAACAAGGUCUCCGUUGGUGAACCAGCGGAGGGAUCAUUAUAGAGUUUUCUAAACUCCCAACCCAUGUGAACUUACCAUUGUUGCCUCGGCAGAAGCUACCUGGUUACCCUACCUUGGAACGGCCUACCCUGUAGCGCCUUACCCUGGAACGGCCUACCCUGUAACGGCUGCCGGUGGACUACCAAACUCUUGUUAUUUUAUUGUAAUCUGAGCGUCUUAUUUUAAUAAGUCAAAACUUUCAACAACGGAUCUCUUGGUUCUGGCAUCGAUGAAGAACGCAGCGAAAUGCGAUAAGUAAUGUGAAUUGCAGAAUUCAGUGAAUCAUCGAAUCUUUGAACGCACAUUGCGCCCAUUAGUAUUCUAGUGGGCAUGCCUGUUCGAGCGUCAUUUCAACCCUUAAGCCUAGCUUAGUGUUGGGAGCCUACUGCUUUUGCUAGCGGUAGCUCCUGAAAUACAACGGCGGAUCUGCGAUAUCCUCUGAGCGUAGUAAUUUUUAUCUCGCUUUUGACUAGAGUUGCAGCGUCUUUAGCCGCUAAACCCCCCAAUUUUUUUACUGGUUGACCUCGGAUCAGGUAGGAAUACCCGCUGAACUUAAGCAUAUCAAUAAGCGGAGGA
RNAcentral lists this ribosomal RNA (630 nucleotides) under Pestalotiopsis maculiformans. RNAcentral describes it as "eukaryotic LSU rRNA". The stretch from base 249 to 402 matches the Rfam family "5.8S ribosomal RNA". The record is from RNAcentral. Lineage: Eukaryota; Fungi; Ascomycota; Sordariomycetes; Amphisphaeriales; Sporocadaceae.